AUGCGGCGGGCAGGGCACAAACCGAUGUCUGGGAACUCGGGGGGGUCCCGGAGGGCAGCGGCCGGGCUGGGGCGGGCAGCAGGGAGCCGGGACCGGGGGGAAGCUCACGCCCCCCGGCUCGCUGUCCCGGGGAGGCAGCCCCCUGACCCCGUCCCCGUCCCGGGGGGGAGCGCCGGAGCGGCCGAGGAGCCGGGGCAGGUGGCGGCUGCCCGGAGCGGGGCUGAACCGGGACCGUACCGGGUCCGUGCGGGGCCCCGUGCCCGCGGUCUCUUUAAAAGCCGGGGCCGGGCGGGGCCGGGCCGGGCUGGGGGCGGCGGCGGCGUGCGCGGGGCUCGGGCUGCUCCGGCACCGCGGCGCGCUCAGCCCUGCGCAGCUCCGCCCGCGGCUCGCACGGCUCGGCUCGGCUCGGCUCGGCUCGGCUCGGCACGGCCAGCCCAGCCUCCCCGGGACCCCCCGAGCCUCCUCGGCUGGGGCCACGCUGGAGCCCCCCGCCCCGCAGCGGAGGCGAGCCGCGAGUUGGCUGCGGAGCUUCGUCCAAGGCUCCAGAGUUUACCUGUCUUGAGAGAAGCAGAAUGUGGUUUACCUCCCUGAUCAGUUUUCCUUUGCCGUCUCCUCUCUUGUAACAGGCUCUGGGUGUUCAGGGGAAGGUGUGAACGCUGGCUGAACUGUGAUGUGCUGUGUCAAGGAUAAGGACACACGGUGGUCUGGCCAAGAACAAAAUGCUACAGCCAGGAACUUUGUGAUGACCAAAAACCAGGAAAAGAGAUGACUUCUGACAGUGAUUCAAGAGGCACGGUGUUUAAAUUAAAAACAAAAAGCGUCUAACUUUGUCUGCCCCUGCUCCCACCAGCAUGAUAAGGAGACAGGCUUUAUUUUGGGACUAUUGCCAACGCAGCUGGAGCCAGAAAUUACCCCAAUUUUGGUUAAGCUUUGAAAAAUUCUAUCAGUUCUCUUCUCCCCCUCAUCCUCCUCUUCUAGUUAAUAGCAGUCUGUCAAUCUAGCAUAGUCAGCUCUUAAUUCAUACAGCAAGUGCUGAGGAGAAUAUUUUGCAUUUUGGAAGCCAAGAUGAUAGUGGGAUUGUUGGUUGCUUGAAACCAGCACUCUACAGUGUCUUGGUCAGGUAAUUUGCUUUCUCCUUCCUUUGGUUUAUCCUCACACCAUCAUAGACCGAGACAUUUCACAUGUGUAAAGGACUUUGAGCAUCAGAGAUGAUGUUUUGACCUCUCAGCACCAAUCAAGGCAGCCAAAACAAGACACGUCUGUAGAAAGGCAGCAUGGGAGAAGUUUGUUCUUCCUUUCUCCUUGUUGUGGGCAGUGGAUGGCAUCUUUAGUGCUCCGUAUUUGUACUGGCUUUUAUUGUUUUGGCAAGGAAAAGCCAUAACUUCGGGCUUGGCUAGCCUGACCAUGGUUUUACUGAGGUCUGUGAGGGAUGAAACGCUGUGUCCCUGUAGCGCUGUGCUCGAGAAGCUGGGCGGUUGGACUCCUGGUGGAGAUAUGCCAGUGGUGUUGGAAGAUCUUGAGUUUCUUAAGAGAAGGUGGGGAUGCAAUGUCUUGCUUUGCCAUUCAGAGAAAAAUGCUCUCUCUCAGCACU
This is a long non-coding RNA of Anser brachyrhynchus (Pink-footed goose), 1591 nucleotides long. The record is from Ensembl. NCBI's taxonomy places the organism in Eukaryota, Metazoa, Chordata, Aves, Anseriformes, Anatidae.